AGCCACUUAACUUGCGCACUUUCCCUCCUUUAUGUAGUCAUGCGCUGCCGUCGGAACGCAUAGAUAUGGAUGUGCGUCUGCAGACCCGCUGCCUGUCCUGUCCUGUCCCCCGCUUCUAAACCACAACCACGGCGACAAAAAACAAAAACAAAAAAGUCAAGUGUUCGGAUCAAAAGAGGAAAGGUGGUUAAAGUGGAUUAUUCUCCACUGUCCGCAGGAGCUUUGUUUUUGUUUUUUGGGGGUUUUUUUCUGCUGCUGUUGCUUAUCUGAGUUGCACCACCGCUCUCAUGCCCGCGCAGAAGUUUUUUGCCCGUCAGGCGGGGGCUUUGCUUGGGAAAAUGUCCAGCCAAGAUGCUAAGUUGGAAAUAGUGGAUCCUGACGCCUACCACGCCGCGCACUACGCUCCUCCUCCCGGGGUGUAGUCACCGAAGGAGAAGGAAAAGCUUAUGCUGGGUAACCAUGAGAGCCCUACUCAAAUUAAUGCUCUCUCUCUCUCUCUCUCUCUCUCUCUCUCUCUCUCUCUCUCUCUCUCUCUCUCUCUCUCGCGUUAACUAACAAUCAUCCUCAUUCUCUAUUUCUCUAUUUUUUCCUCUUUAACUAGACUCGUCGCAGUAAGUCUCGAGUGUGCCCAGCACCCCCUCUUCCUCCUCCUCCUCUUCCUUCUCCUCCUCCUCCAGACGGCGACAUGUCAGCUCCCAACUUUCUUCUUUUCUCCACCGAAGCCGUCACUUUCACACUUGAUCAAUAACAAAUCGGCUGCUGCCAGGCAGGAUGCAGUAGUCUACUUCAAGAGUUGGAGAGGAUUUUUUUAUUUAUUUGUUUUAUUUUUUUUUUUAAAGUCGCUUCCAUGCUGCAUUUCCCCCUCAUUUCCUUUUGCUUUGUGCGUAAAAAGUCUUCGUUUUUAAAUGCGCGUUAAAUCAACUGUCUGAUGUUCCACGUUUCCGUGCGUCUUGUGCUUUAAUGCGCAUUUGGAGGUUUCAAAUGGAUUACCAUAUGGACAGUUCUUGUAUUGGAGGACGAGCCACGGUUGGAGAUCACUGGGUUUGUAUUAGAAGGUCAUGCAUAGGGUGGAGAGUGUGUGCAGCUUUGCGGGCUCUUACAACCCCAGCAGCACGGUCGAAAAGACGCGCUGGCAGGGUCCCAAGGUGGAUGCAUCGCCCACGCACGCUGCCCUCGCCAGCUCCCAGAAGCCUUUGUGGUGAACCACUGACCGUGCUGCUCCCCAUUUUCCUGCAGCCCAGGGAAUAAUGUGUCUGAAAAAGAUUAUUGAUAGCCCAUAAAAGAAGAGCCAGAAUGUUGUUGCCUGACUGCUCCAACUUUGAAGGACAAUACAAGUGCUAAACCAUCACUUUGAAUGCUACACUGGCUCUGAAAGGAGCUCAGCGUUUAUUUCCCUCAUUG
RNAcentral lists this long non-coding RNA (1401 nucleotides) under Gouania willdenowi (blunt-snouted clingfish). RNAcentral describes it as "lncRNA (ENSGWIG00000012637.1)". The record is from RNAcentral. Lineage: Eukaryota; Metazoa; Chordata; Actinopteri; Blenniiformes; Gobiesocidae.